AGAGUUUGAUCCUGGCUCAGAACGAACGCUGGCGGCGUGCUUUAGACAUGCAAGUCGUGCGAGAAAGUCGCCUUCGGGUGGCGAGUAAAGCGGCGCACGGGUGAGUAACGCGUGGGUAAUCUGCCUUUGGGUCUGGGACAACCUCGGGAAACUGGGGCUAAUACCGGAUAAGACCACGGGAUCUUCGGAUUCUGCGGAAAAAGAUGGCCUCUUCUUGAAAGCUAUCGCCUAUUGAUGAGCCCGCGUCCCAUUAGUUUGUUGGUGAGGUAACGGCUCACCAAGGCUUCGAUGGGUAGCUGGUCUGAGCGGAUGAUCAGCCACACUGGAACUGAGACACGGUCCAGACUCCUACGGGAGGCAGCAGUCGGGAAUUUUGGGCAAUGGGGGAAACCCUGACCCAGCAACGCCGCGUGAGGGAUGAAGGCCUUCGGGUCGUAAACCUCUGUCGGGAGGGAAGAAAGGUCUCAGGACGAAUAAUCCUGGGAUUUGACGGUACCUUCAAAGGAAGCGCCGGCUAACUCCGUGCCAGCAGCCGCGGUAAUACGGAGGGCGCAAGCGUUGUUCGGAAUCAUUGGGCGUAAAGAGCGUGUAGGCGGUUUGGUAAGUCGGAUGUGAAAUCCCGAGGCUCAACCUCGGAACUGCAUUCGAAACUACUUCACUAGAGUCCCGGAGAGGGUGGUGGAAUUCCCAGUGUAGAGG
RNAcentral lists this ribosomal RNA (699 nucleotides) under uncultured bacterium. RNAcentral's name for it is "bacterial SSU rRNA". It matches the Rfam family "Bacterial small subunit ribosomal RNA", at positions 8 to 681 of the family's 1533-position model. The record is from RNAcentral.